RNAcentral lists this ribosomal RNA (451 nucleotides) under uncultured Lachnospiraceae bacterium. Its description in RNAcentral is "partial 16S ribosomal RNA". It matches the Rfam family "Bacterial small subunit ribosomal RNA", at positions 341 to 792 of the family's 1533-position model. The record is from RNAcentral. Lineage: Bacteria; Bacillati; Bacillota; Clostridia; Lachnospirales; Lachnospiraceae.
ACGGGAGGCAGCAGUAGGGAAUAUUGCACAAUGGGGGGAACCCUGAUGCAGCAACGCCACGUGUGGGAAGAAGCAUUUCGGUGUGUAAACCACUGUCGUGAGGGAAUAAUGCUCGGUCUCGGCCGAGUUGAAUGUACCUCGAAAGGAAGCACCGGCAAACUUCGUGCCAGCAGCCGCGGUAAUACGAGGGGUGCAAGCGUUAUCCGGAUUUACUGGGUGUAAAGGGAGCGCAGACGGCAUGGCAAGCCAGAUGUGAAAGGCAGGGGCUCAACUCCUGGACUGCAUUUGGAACUGUCAAGCUAGAGUAUCGGAGAGGUAAGUGGAAUUCCUAGUGUAGCGGUGAAAUGCGUAGAUAUUAGGAGGAACACCAGUGGCGAAGGCGGCUUACUGGACGAUAACUGACGUUGAGGCUCGAAAGCGUGGGGAGCAAACAGGAUUAGAUACCCUGGUA